AUGUCUCGCAGGAAAUCUUUUGCUCCAAGACAUGGGUCCCCGGGCUUCCUGCCUUGGAAACACAGCAGUAGGCAUCAUGGCAAGGUGAAGAGCUUCCCCAGUGAUGACCCUUCUAAACUGGUCCACCUCACAGCUUUCCUGGGAUACAAGGCUGGCAUGACACAUCGUGUGGGAAGCUGGCCGGCUAGGACCCAAGGUGAACAAGAAGGAAGGGGUAGAGGCUAUGACCAUUGUGGAGACACUGCCCAUGGUGGUAGUAGGCAUCCUGGGCUACAUGGAAACCCCUCAAGGCCUCUGAAUUUCCAAGACCAUCUUUGUUGAGCACAUUAGCAAUGAGUGCAAAAGGCACUUCUAUAGGAACUGGCAUAAAGCGAAGUAGAAGGCUUUUACCAAGUACUGCAAGAAACUGCAGGGUGAGGAUGACAAGAAGCAGCUGAAGAAGGACUUCAACAGCAUGCUUGAAUAUCUACACCCAGAUGCACCUGCUUCCUCUAUGUAUGAAGAAGACCCACCUAAUGGACAUCCAGGUGAACAGAGGCACUGUGACCGAGAAACUGGACUGGUCUCUGGAGAGGCUAGAGGACCAGGUACCUGUGAAGCAAGCGUUUGGGCAGGACAAGAUGAUUGACAUCAAACGGGUGACCAAGGGCAAAGGCUACAAAGAGGUCACCAGUCAUUGGCAUACCAAGAAGCUGCCCUACAAGACCCACUGAGGGCUGUGGAAGGUUGCCUAUAUUGGGGCAUGGCAUCCUGCCCAUAUGACCUUCUCUGUGGCACGUACUAGACACAAACUAUCACUGCACUGAGAUCAACAAGAAGAUCUAUAAUAUCAGUCAGGGCUACUUCAUCAAGGAUGGCAAAUUGAUCAGUGCCUCCACUGACUAUAACCUGACAAGAGCAUCAACCCUCUGGGUGGCUUUGUCCACUAUGGUGAAGUGACCAAUGACUUUGUCAUGCUGAAGUGCUGUGUGGUGGGAACUAAGAGGCAAGCGCUCAUCCUCCACAAGUCUUGAUGCAGACCAAGCAGCAGGCUCUGGAGAAGACUGACCUUAAGUUCAUUGACACUACCUUUAAAUUUGGCCAUGGCCGCUUCCAAACCAUGGAGAAGAAGCAUUCAUGGGACCACUCAAGAAAGACCAGAUUGCAAAGGAAGAAGGAGCUUAA
RNAcentral lists this long non-coding RNA (1164 nucleotides) under Homo sapiens (human). Its description in RNAcentral is "non-protein coding lnc-TM2D2-4:1". Lineage: Eukaryota; Metazoa; Chordata; Mammalia; Primates; Hominidae. The record is from RNAcentral.